Non-coding RNA from Salvelinus sp. IW2-2015, 191 nucleotides. Lineage: Eukaryota; Metazoa; Chordata; Actinopteri; Salmoniformes; Salmonidae. The record is from RefSeq and is a predicted model, not a curated record.
CCUUCCCGGACUCCGUACAUAUUAGCUGUUGACAGAAUCAUGGCGUCCUCAAUGUCACUUCUAGGUUUGGGACGGGGUUCCCUGCUAAAUACAGCCACUAAAGUAUUCCUGAAUCCUGUCAGGUCGGUGAGCCUGACAGGAUGGAGGCUGGCAGAGAAAGCAGGACAAGAGACGCAACUGAUCACCGUGGA